UACGUAGGGGGCUAGCGUUGUCCGGAUUUACUGGGCGUAAAGAGCGUGUAGGCGGCCAAACAGGUCCGUUGUGAAAACUGGAGGCUCAACCUCCAGACGUCGACGGAAACCGUGUGGCUAGAGUCCGGAAGAGGAGAGUGGAAUUCCUGGUGUAGCGGUGAAAUGCGCAGAUAUCAGGAAGAACACCAAUUGCGGAUGCAGCUCUCUGGGACGGUACUGACGCUGAGACGCGAAAGCGUGGGGAGCGAACAGG
RNAcentral lists this ribosomal RNA (253 nucleotides) under uncultured bacterium. RNAcentral's name for it is "partial 16S ribosomal RNA". It matches the Rfam family "Bacterial small subunit ribosomal RNA", at positions 524 to 776 of the family's 1533-position model. The record is from RNAcentral.